This 468-nucleotide ribosomal RNA is filed under the name uncultured bacterium. Its description in RNAcentral is "partial 16S ribosomal RNA". It matches the Rfam family "Bacterial small subunit ribosomal RNA", at positions 28 to 507 of the family's 1533-position model. The record is from RNAcentral.
GACGAACGCUGGCGGCGUGCUUAACACAUGCAAGUCGAACGGAAAGGCCCUGCUUUUGUGGGGUGCUCGAGUGGCGAACGGGUGAGUAACACGUGAGUAACCUGCCCUUGACUUUGGGAUAACUUCAGGAAACUGGGGCUAAUACCGGAUAGGAGCUCCUGCUGCAUGGUGGGGGUUGGAAAGUUUCGGCGGUUGGGGAUGGACUCGCGGCUUAUCAGCUUGUUGGUGGGGUAGUGACUUACCAAGGCUUUGACGGGUAGCCGGCCUGAGAGGGUGACCGGCCACAUUGGGACUGAGAUACGGCCCAGACUCCUACGGGAGGCAGCAGUGGGGAAUAUUGCACAAUGGGCGGAAGCCUGAUGCAGCAACGCCGCGUGCGGGAUGACGGCCUUCGGGUUGUAAACUGCUUUCGCCUGUGACGAAGCGUGAGUGACGGUAAUGGGUAAAGAAGCACCGGCUAACUACGUG